Cimex lectularius (bed bug) is the source of this 324-nucleotide long non-coding RNA. RefSeq lists it as uncharacterized. The transcript is spliced from 3 exons. The record is from RefSeq and is a predicted model, not a curated record. NCBI's taxonomy places the organism in Eukaryota, Metazoa, Arthropoda, Insecta, Hemiptera, Cimicidae.
CCAAUGGAAAAUUCAUUCACAUCGAGAUGAAGGUGUCCGUACUGACAUUUCUGUUCGUACUGAUCCUUGUAUUUACGGGAUCGACUAAUGGAGCGUCGGUACAUAAGGACUGUCAUGGAAGAGGACAUGGACGUCAAAGAGGUCCGGGGGGUUCUGGAAACUCAGGAGGCUCGGGAGGUUCAGGAGGCGCUGGAGGCUCUGGAAACCCUGGAGGUUCUGAACCUCCGCCAACUACAACGAUGUAGACGGCAAUAAUCGCGCUUUUGUGCUUCUGUGAGCAAUAACUACGCCAUGUGAUUUAUGCACUUUUGUCAUUUAAAAAUC